This 420-nucleotide ribosomal RNA is filed under the name Peptostreptococcaceae bacterium oral taxon 493. RNAcentral's name for it is "bacterial SSU rRNA". It matches the Rfam family "Bacterial small subunit ribosomal RNA", at positions 28 to 429 of the family's 1533-position model. The record is from RNAcentral. Lineage: Bacteria; Bacillati; Bacillota; Clostridia; Peptostreptococcales; Peptostreptococcaceae.
GAGGAACGCUGGCGGCGUGCCUAACACAUGCAAGUCGAGCGAGAAAUAAAGAAACAGAGAUUUCGGUCAAAGUUUUUUUAUGGAAAGCGGCGGACGGGUGAGUAACGCGUAGGCAACCUGCCCUUUGCACAGGGAUAGCCUCGGGAAACCGGGAUUAAAACCUGAUAAUGCCGAAAGAACACAUGUUCGUUCGGUCAAAUAUUUAUAGGCAAAGGAUGGGCCUGCGUCUGAUUAGCUUGUUGGUGAGGUAACGGCUCACCAAGGCGACGAUCAGUAGCCGACCUGAGAGGGUAAACGGCCACAUUGGAACUGAGACACGGUCCAAACUCCUACGGGAGGCAGCAGUGGGGAAUAUUGCACAAUGGGCGAAAGCCUGAUGCAGCAACGCCGCGUGAGUGAAGAAGGCCCUUGGGUCGUAAA